This 70-nucleotide transfer RNA is filed under the name Diaphanes nubilus. RNAcentral's name for it is "tRNA-Lys". Lineage: Eukaryota; Metazoa; Arthropoda; Insecta; Coleoptera; Lampyridae. The record is from RNAcentral.
UAUUAGAUGACUGAAAGUAAGUACUGGCCUCUUAAGCCAUUUUAUAGUAAAUAACAAUUACUUCUAAUAA